CUGUAACAGCAAAUCUAUGGAGAAAAGUUCUCAAAUUUGCAAUUAUUGUUGAAGCGAAUCAAUCCUUGAGUUAUUUAGAUUCUUUUGCUAUACAUUAGCAAGAAGUCGUGAAUAACCAAUAACUAAAGCAAUUCAGUCUAAUAAUCCUAUGUAACAGCUGCAAAAUUGCAGCAAACAGUUCGAUUAUGGCCGCUGAUCAUGCUGCUACCACAUCUUAAACCACUGUUAACAAAUAACCAGAUCUCAUCAGUACAGAUGUGGUCUUAAUCAGCUAACGGCUAUAAACCCUACAAGAACAGGGCAUUCAGCAUCUAAAGAUAGACGAUAUAACAGCCUUGAUUUUAGGAGGGAAAAAGACGAAAUGUUUGGCAUGACAAUGGCAUAGAACCUCCAAUAAUAUCAUAUGCCAAAGGAUGUUGACUGAAAAAGAAUAGACAUGCCGACGAAAAUGACACACAACUCUUUAUUUUCAAAUAUCAGACUUCACAAAAACACAUUAAAUGGGAAGAGACAAUUUUGACAGUUUUACAGAGCUGCAUAUCAGAAACAUAACAAUUGAACCAUAACGAGAAGAAUGAUAGCAGAUCCUCACAUAGGGAACUCCAAAUAAAAAUGCUCCAGCAACAAAUUAUCAAUAAUCUUCACCUUCCUCUUCAUCUUCAUCUCCACCUUCAGCACCAACUUCCUCAUAAUCUUUCUCAAGAGCAGCAAGGUCUUCACGAGCUUCUGAGAAUUCCCCUUCUUCCAUGCCUUCACCAACAUACCAAUGAACAAAUGCCCUUUUGGCAUACAUGAGAUCAAAUUUGUGGUCAAUGCGAGAGAACACUUCAGCCACAGCAGUGUUGUUGCUGAUCAUGCAAACAGCACGCUGCACCUUGGCGAGAUCACCCCCAGGUACUACAGUUGGAGGCUCAUAGUUAAUACCACAUUUGAAGCCAGUUGGACACCAGUCAACAAAUUGAACCGUCCUUUUAGUUUUGAUAGUGGCAACAGCAGCAUUGACAUCCUUGGGAACAACAUCUCCCCGAUACAUCAAACAGCAAGCCAUGUAUUUCCCAUGCCUGGGAUCACACUUAGCCAUCAUGCUUGAAGGCUCAAAAACAGCAUUUGUAAUCUCAGGAACUGUCAACUGCUCAUGGUAUGCCUUUUCAGCUGAGAUGACGGGAGCAUAUGAAGAAAGCAUGAAGUGGAUACGGGGAUAUGGCACAAGGUUAGUCUGGAACUCUGUAACAUCUACAUUAAUGGCUCCAUCAAACCUUAAUGAAGUUGUCAAAGAUGAUAUAAUUUGCGAUAUCAAUCGAUUCAAAUUGGUGUAAGUAGGUCUUUCAAUAUCUAGGGAUCUUCGGCAAAUGUCAUAUAUAGCUUCAUUGUCAAGAAGCACAGCAACAUCAGUGUGUUCCAAGAGGGAGUGAGUUGAAAGGACACUGUUGUAGGGCUCAACAACAGAUGUGGAGACUUGGGGAGAGGGGUAGACAGUGAAACCCAACUUGGAUUUCUUUCCAUAAUCAACAGACAAACGCUCCAACAGGAGAGAUCCAAGACCAGAUCCGGUACCACCACCAACAGCAUUAAACACAAGGAAUCCCUGGAGGCCAGUGCAGUUGUCAGCAAGCUUUCUGAUGCGGUCCAAGCAGAGAUCAACAAUUUCCUUGCCAAUGGUAUAAUGGCCACGGGCAAAGUUGUUGGCAGCAUCUUCCUUGCCACUGAUGAGCUGCUCAGGGUGAAAGAGCUGGCGGUAAGUUCCGGUCCUAACUUCAUCAAUGACAGUUGGCUCAAGAUCUACAAAGACAGCGCGAGGAACGUGCUUCCCUGCACCAGUUUCACUGAAAAAGGUGUUGAAGGCAUCGUCACCACCGCCAACGGUCUUGUCACCUGGCAUCUGGCCAUCAGGCUAAACAAAGAAAGCAAAAAAAUAAAAAACAAAUCAAUAACUUACUAAUCGCAUAUCUAAACACUAUUAGAAAGCAGAUCUGGAGAAAGAACAGCAUUCUUAAUCAAAAUGAGAAUCAAAACUUGCAGAUCUGAUUCAAAACCGGAAGGCAAAACAGCAAACACGCACAGAUCCAGCUUUUUUUGGAGAAUUUGUACAUAUAUUACCAUAAUUGAGACAGAUUAAACACAAAUCUACCAGAAUUGACACAUAAUUGCUAAAAAUGCCAAAGAUACCCAAACAAAUUCAGAUCCAACGCAAAAAAAUGGAAAAAUUGAACACACAUUAUCAAUGACGAUAACUACUAAACACAAAUCUACCACAAAUAAAUACAAAAAUGAGAAAAAUACAAGAAAUCCCCAAACAAGUACAGAUCCAAAACAACAUGAUGCUAAAAAACGCAGAUCCAAGCAUCCAAUUGAACAAAGAGAGGUACCUGGAUGCCAUGCUCAAGGCAGUAAAGCUCCCAGCAGGCAUUGCCAACCUGGAUACCAGCCUGACCAAUGUGAAUGGAAAUGCACUCUCUCAUUUUCGCUGAUUGAUUUCACAAUAACCAGAAACGACGAAAAGAAGAAGUUGGAAGAGACUGAGAAAAGCUAUGAAACGAAGGCGUUUAUGAAGACGCCUUCUGAUUCAACCUUAGGGAUGGAGGCGAGGCUUUAGCUGAGACGGGGUAUUUAUGCUAAGAGAAACGAUAAACGGAGGUUGAGAUAUUUGGUGGAUUUAACUGGGGUUGGGUAAGGGACGUUACGGAUGUGAUGACGUGUAAUUGUCUGAUUGGUUCCUAUGUUAACUGUGGUUAAG
Molecule: unclassified non-coding RNA, 2734 nt
Filed under: Hevea brasiliensis (rubber tree)
Lineage: Eukaryota; Viridiplantae; Streptophyta; Magnoliopsida; Malpighiales; Euphorbiaceae
Source: RNAcentral